RNAcentral lists this ribosomal RNA (325 nucleotides) under uncultured eukaryote. RNAcentral describes it as "partial 18S ribosomal RNA". It matches the Rfam family "Eukaryotic small subunit ribosomal RNA", at positions 1470 to 1796 of the family's 1831-position model. The record is from RNAcentral.
CCCUUAGAUGUUCUGGGCCGCACGCGCGCUACACUGAUGCAUUCAACGAGCCUAUCCUUGACCGACAGGUCCGGGUAAUCUUUGAAUCUGCAUCGUGACGGGGAUAGAUUAUUGCAAUUAUUAAUCUUCAACGAGGAAUGCCUAGUAGGCGCAAGUCAUCAGCUUGCGUCGAUUACGUCCCUGCCCUUUGUACACUCCGCCCGUCGCUCCUACCGAUUGGGUGUGCUGGUGAAAUGUUCGGAUCGGCCGUUUGUCGCGGUUUCCGCGGCUCGUGGCUGAGAAGUUCAUUAAACCCUCCCACCUAGAGGAAGGAGAAGUCGUAACA